GGAAAAGCUCAACUUUAAAAUCUGGCUCUUUCAGAGUCCGAGUUGUAGUCUAGAGAAGCAACGUCCGCGCCGGACCUUGGAUAAGUCGGUUGGAAAACCGCGUCAGAGAGGGUGACAAUCCCGUUUGUACCAAGGACGCCCGUGUGCAUUGUGAUGUGCUUUCCAA
RNAcentral lists this ribosomal RNA (166 nucleotides) under Spiculogloeaceae sp. RNAcentral describes it as "partial large subunit ribosomal RNA". It matches the Rfam family "Eukaryotic large subunit ribosomal RNA", at positions 101 to 261 of the family's 3401-position model. The record is from RNAcentral. Lineage: Eukaryota; Fungi; Basidiomycota; Spiculogloeomycetes; Spiculogloeales; Spiculogloeaceae.